UUUUUCUCCAGAAUACUCUAUA
This 22-nucleotide small nuclear RNA is filed under the name Arabidopsis thaliana (thale cress). RNAcentral describes it as "snRNA_09489". The record is from RNAcentral. Lineage: Eukaryota; Viridiplantae; Streptophyta; Magnoliopsida; Brassicales; Brassicaceae.